UUACGUGAGGUUACCGACCAAAAAUAAAAAAAUCCCGUGGCUCCGACCUUACUUUCCCCACCUCUUAUCACAUUCUGUCCCGCAUCGCACCCCAUGUCGCAGCUCCCAACUCCCAAGCCGAAUUCCCCUCCACCGCAAUCGGCAUGGGCAGCUCCCACAGCCGCGAGGACCUCGACCUCACCUCCUCCGACGAAGAGGAGGACUACAACACCCGAUCCCCCAUCUCCGAGCCCGCUGCGAGCGCGGGCCAGCGCGACGGCGACCUCCUCCGCGGCGCCACCCUUUCUUCGCUCGAGGCCCUCGACACCAAGCUGAGGUCGCUCGAUCUCAAGUACCAGCGUCCGACCGCCGCCAAGCUCUACCUCCACGUCGGCGGCGCAUCGCCCUCCGCGUGCUGGGUGCCGCCAAGCGCCGCGCGACUUACGCCUUCGUCGACAACGGGCGUGCUAGCGACGACGCCUCCUCCCCGAGGUGGGUCCUGGAGGUUGGCCCGGGGCAGCGGGUCUCCGCCCCCGUGAGGCCGGCGCUCUAGCUAAAGACGAACCCCUCGCAGCGCCGGGCGAGGCAGUGCCUCUUCGAGAACACGUACGGGGUCGAGCCCACUGACGAGGGCGGGAAGGAGGUGUUCGGCACCGACUUCGCCGCGUGGGCGCGCCCCAGUGAGGCCGAUGACACCGUCUGGACCGACGCCGAGGACAGCCUCACCCCUCCCGCCACCGCUCCGGCGAGGGACCUGCUUGAGGAGUUUGAGGAGGAGACUUUAGUACAGGACCUGGGACUUGGCAGCUUGAGCGGUUGAGCCUAAAGACACCACACCAAGGAGUGCAUGAAGCAGUAAGGGCGCAAAAAAAAAAUGCACCUGCCUCCCAAUGUCGAGUACAUGUAUAAGUAUAUGUAUAGCUGUUUUCCUGAUCCAGUAUUGGCUUAACUUCGAUUCGGAGUACUGGCUUAACUUCGAUUCGGAGACGUAUCCUACCCUCACGCCCUUAUCCACCCACUACCGCCCCUCACCCCUAAUAUUUAAUUCCUUGCUUCAAUGGAAGUAGUGGUGCUCAAAAUGAUGGUUUUAUCUCCUUGAAGAGAAAAAUUUUCAUUUCCAAAAAGAGUAGAUUUUUUUUGAAACUGAAUAGGAACAGCAAUAAUUCUUUUUUGGUGACGGAUAGAAAAUGUAAUUAAAAUAUUUAUUUCCUUGCUUCAAUGGAAAUAGUGGUGCUCAAAAUGACAGUUUUAGUUCUUUGAAGAAAAAAUUCGAUCAAUGCGUUGCAGUUUCUUGGAUUAAAAGAUUUUAAUAGUGUCAUCUAUGAGAGACUGCUAUUAUUGUGGAGCUUGAGAGAGUGUUAUAAUCUAUCUUUUAAGUUCAAGACCUACUUUCAAGCACUCCUAGAAAGCUUUAGUACAGUUCUGAAGAAGAAGAAGAAGAGGAUGCUGAAGAGGGGGAGGGUGCUUGCCGCGAGCUCAGUUCCGCUCCGGUGGAGCAGAGCGGCAAGGUGCUCAAGAGAGGUCAGGUAGGGGUCCGGGAGUAGCAAGGGGAGGUUGGCCGAGGUGAGGUGUGAUGCGGCUGUCGCGGAGAAGCCUGCUAGGGAGGAGCCGAGGAGGUGACCGAGGAGAAGUUCGAGUAGCACGUGAAGAUGAGACAUGGACACCAUUCAUAUAUGUAAUUCAAGUUGUUUCAGAUGGGAUUUGUCAAUCAGUGUUGUUAGGAUUUUCAGGAGAACAAAGACCUUGGGGCUGACAACACUCUAAUUGGUCAGUUUGGUGUUGGAUUUUACUCAGCUUUUCUUGUAGCAGAGAAGGUUGUGGUGUCCACUAAGAUCUCAAAAUCAGAUAAAAAUAUGUGUGGGAAGCCGUGGCUGACAGUAGCUCUUAUGUCAUUAAGGAAUAGACUGACUCUGAGACUUCUAUAGCCUGAUGAUUAGUAUGAGUUUGCAGACCCUUCAAGGAUUCAAGGCUUAGUUAAGAACUACUCUCAGUUUGUAUCUUCCCCCAUAUACAUGUGGCAGGAGAAAUCAAGAACUGUUGAGGUUUUUUCCUUGCUCUUGUUGAUUUGUAUUGAAUUGGCUGCUCCACUUGAUUUGUUGAUUUGUAUUCUUUCUGCAUUGGUAUGUGGCUCCCCUCAUUGCAUUCUUUGUCAAAGUCACUUACAUUGAUAAUAUCUUCAUUCUCUUCAUAACUUGUCUGCAAAAUAUUGUUAAAGUAAAAAUAUUGCCAUCAACGAUAAGAUAAACUGCAAAUUAUAUGUCCCUUGGAGUACCUGAUUAUUUGAAAUUUUUGGAUUGCUGAUAUUAUCUGAUGUUGUUUCACAGUUCAACUUUCUCUUUUUUAAUUUUCGAGCAGUUUGAUGAUUUCUAUUUUCACCAAUUUCCCUUUGUUGUUCCUACAAAAACAUAUCAAAAAUAUUAUACAAUUACAUAUUGACUAAUAAAUAUGAAAUAUGAUGUUAUGUUUCUUUGGCGUACUUCAUUGUUAUAACAAUCUGAUUCCCUCUGCAUGUAAAUGUCAUCCUGUAAUCAAUAGUAAAGAAGCAUUGUUAUUGUUAUUUGUAAUUAUGAAAAAAAUAAACUAAUAUGUAAAAUGGCUGAAUAUUUGAAAUUAUUGUCUACAAUGCAACCUUUAUUUCUUUAUGUUUUCCGUGGAAAAUAUUUUUCUUUGACCUUUUGGCUGACUUCAAGAUAACUUGAUUAUCAUCCCUUAGAAAUUCAGAAUCAUCGAUGCCUUCUUCCUACAAAUAAAACACACGCACACAUAGACAAAAAUACUUGUUAAAUUCUAAAUACCUAUUAAAGCAACAUGUAAAAUGAAAAUGUUAUUUAUUCUGGUACCUCAUUAGUUGAAGAUUUUGCUUCCAUCACAACUACUGAACCUGUUCUUUUUCCAUGCACAACUUUCCUUAAAUUUUUUUUUCUGCCUUUUUGAAUCUUUGUCAUCCUUUACCAUUUCACCAACAUUUUGUUCUGCAACAACACGUUUCUUUUUUUCCCUGUUCAUCUUUUUGGCCAAUCUUAUUUCCUCAACUUGAUUAUUCGAAAAUUUCAAUUCAAGCUCAUCAAUCUUUUUGGCCACUCUUGUGCCGAUCUUAAUGGAUUUUUCUAAUUCAGCUUUCUUUUUGGAAUGAUUGUAUUCAACGUCUAAAGCUUCAUCAACUUGAGGUCUUCUCUUUAACAAUUUUCCAUCAUCAAUCUUACUUUUUUUGCUACAAACUGUAAUAUUAUUUUCUUCUUCAUCUGAGUCAUCUUCGACAAUCAUUACUUUCUCUCUUCUUUGAUUGACAUCCUUGAGUUUCUUCGAUGAUGAAAAUUUUCCUUUACAUUUAUUGUAAUCCAUGUUGCUUAUAUCGCUAUCUUCCAAUAAUUCAACAUGUGUCACUAUGUGUGAAGUCUUUAUGGUUGGUGAAUUCUUGAUGUUUAGUUCCUGCUAAGCAAAACAAUCAGAAAAGACAUAAGGAAAAUGAAUUAAAAAUAGAAGAAAAAAAUCGCCCAUUACCUCUUCAUUUUUCUUUGUUGAAUAUUCCAAUUCAAGCUUUUUGUUGGGUACAAAUGUUCUUUUAACUAAAUAGUAUGCUUUUCCUUCAGUCAAAUUCUGGCUGCUGAGUUUGAAUCGAAAAAUAAAUGAUUUUCCACAUAACUCAUGUAUAAUCUGUGGAACUUCUUCAGAUUUUCCAUUAUGUAAAUCUAGCAAAUCCGUGAUGGUUGUGUUGAGCAUUCUUCGUGCUUCAUCGUCAAAUAUACUACAAGUGGUAGUUGCAGUGUGAUCACUAAUUUGGAGUCGGAUCCAAUAUCUAACAUAACAUGAAUGUUAGGGCUAUGAAAUAAAAAUAUUUAAAAAAUUUAGUACAGUAUCAAUACCUAGGAGUUGUUGUUUCUGGUUCUGAAUUGCAUUUAUUGCAAUAAUACUGGUUCUCUAUCUUAAUACACAUUUUGUUGCAAACUUUGCAUGACAUGUACCACCAAGAAUAAUUAUCUAAUUUAUCAAUCGUAGCUCUUGACGUAAAUACAAAAUCCUACAAUGUGAAAAUCAGAUGUUAGUCUUUUAAAUAUUUUAAAAUAUGAUGCACAUUAAAUCAAUAUAAAAAACAGAUAUAUGAACUCUAUGUUGUACCUGAUCUGUUGGGUUGUCAUGUCUCAUUUGUGUAAUUUCCAAUAAAGUUCGUCUGUUAUAAAACAUUUGCUCUUUUAUUGUACCUUGUGUACUUUUAUCUACCUCCAUCAAUUUUGCUACAUUUUCUUCAUUUUGGAGACUAUAAAAUAUAAAGCAUUAGGACAAAAUAAAAAAAAAAUUAGCUGUGCAUUGAAACUUGGAAAAAAAGACAUCAUUUCACAUACCUGUCAAUAAGCUCUAAAGUUUCUGGUAUAUCUAAAUUUGUAUAUAAUCUUGUGCCAUUGCCUGAUUUUAGAAAUAGCAUGUCUAUUUUUAAAAAUAUUAAUAUGUUAGUGUUUCUAAAUUUGCAAAUAUAAUGAUACAUAGUAAAUAAAUUGAAAAUACCUUGAAGUCCAUCCACCAUUGUUGAUGUAACUAUUAAGACUGUUUGCUUCCCAAUAAGAUCUUCAGUCAAAGAAUGAGCUAAGUUCCCCCAUAAUGUUAUCCUGACUUUAUGAUCCCUGAAAUUUUAGUGCAAUAUUAUACAAUUUUAAUUUUAAAUUGCAAACAAUCAAUCAUAUCAUUUCCAAUAAAAUAAGAAUGAAGACAAAUUAACAUGCUUACUUUGCUAUCAAAAGUUCUAUCUCGCGAAUGUCCCUUUGUCGUGGAUUGGCGGUGUUUUUCAUUAUCAUUCUAGUUUCUACUUUCUUAAUUUUUAUGAGUAAUCCAAUAACAUCUGCAAAUUUAGAAAACAAAAAUUUAAAUUAAAAAUAAUAUAAAAUAGAUAGAUAGAUUUUUAUAUUAUAAAAAAACAUAACGGUAAACUUACCGGAGCAUUGCUUAUCACUAUUUCUCCGCUCUAGCAGUAUAUCUCUAGAGGCAAACUCAAAAUAAUAGUCCUGAUACUCAUUUGAUUGUUCUUCCAAUUUCGUGACAUUUGUAUUGUAAAUGAAUACUAUUUUAAGUGUAUUCUUAACUGGACGGUACCUAGUGUCUUCUUGGACUUUGAAAUUGCUAAGUGCAUAGAUACAACCCUCGUUUAGCUUUGGUUUAAAACUGUUGAUCAGGUUCUUCCAUAUAGUAGCGUGAAUUGUUUCACCCUGUGAAACAAAUAUUAAUUUCGCAAUGAUCAGUAAAAUUAAUAACUAAAAGGAAAAUGACAUACCAAGGUGUUUUAAAUAUUAAGUGUUACAGCAAUACCUGAUCAUCUAUAAGAAUCAUAUCUAAGCUCAUAAGUUCCUCAGUUGCAAAAUUAAUUGACUCCCACAUUCUAAUCACUUUCACUUUAAUUUUCCAUGCUUGUCCACAUGUUGUCAACUGACUCAAUUUUUUGUAUGUCAUAGUGCGAAAUCCUGUGAAAAAAAUGCAGAUAUGACAUAUAGGAUAUGAUAUGAUACUGUCUAUACUUACCAAUAUUUAGCUAUACUGUUACAAAACUGAAUUUCAUAAUGCAUUCCCUCAGGAGUAAGAAUGUUAUCACUUGCACUUGUGUUCAUCUGAAGGAACUGAUAUGUUGCAAAACUGAAUUUCAAUAUGUUUGCGCUUAAUAGUUAGAAGAAUUCUAGGCAUUUAUAGGUGUAUUAAUUGUACAAACACACUUUUGCUUUAUAUGCUAUUACAUGACCUCAGAGUGAAUGAAUGGAGAUCAAUUACAAAGGAAUGUUGAUGUUCAAAAAACAAUCAAAGGAACCUUAUGAGCGGCAAAACUGAAUUCCAUAAUGCAUGCCCUUAGGAGUAAGAAUAAUUGUAGGUAUCUAUGUGUUCACUAAUUGUAAAAGCAAAUUUUAACUUUAAAUGUUAUCACUUGCACUUGUGUUCAUCUGAAGGAACUGAUCUGUUGCAAAACUGAAUUUCAAUAUGUUUGCGCUUAAUA
Phragmites australis (common reed) is the source of this 5947-nucleotide RNA transcript. It is a transcript of the gene named heat shock protein 90-5, chloroplastic-like, with no coding region annotated. The record is from RefSeq and is a predicted model, not a curated record. NCBI's taxonomy places the organism in Eukaryota, Viridiplantae, Streptophyta, Magnoliopsida, Poales, Poaceae. The transcript has 6 exons.